This 21-nucleotide microRNA is filed under the name Cordylochernes scorpioides. The record is from RNAcentral. Lineage: Eukaryota; Metazoa; Arthropoda; Arachnida; Pseudoscorpiones; Chernetidae.
CGUCAGACCUUGGUAUAGGGA